GCACCCAGGGCAUGUGGAAGUUCCAGGGCUGGGGACCGAACCCAUGCCACAGCAGCAACCCAAGCCACGGCAGUGACAAUGCCAGAUCCUUAACCCAGUAUUUUUUGCCUUUUGUCUUUUUAGGUCCAAAACCACAGCAUAUGGAGGGUCCCAGGCUAGGGGUUGAAUUGGAGCUGUAGCCACUGGCCUACACCACAGCCACAGGAAUGCCAGAUCCGAGCCACGCCUGCCCCCUACACCACAGCUCACGGCAAUGCUGGAUCCUUAACCCACUGAUGGAGGCCAGAGAUCAAACCUGAAACCUCAUGGUUACUAGUAGGAUUCGUUUCCCCUGGGCCACACCAGGAACUCCAGCUCAUUCUUAAUCAGAUUCUCUUCCGAAAAGCAAGCCUUGUUCCCUUCUAUUUCUAGGACACAUGCUUUUCCUAAAUUUGAAAAAUGCAGCCACAGGAGUUCCCAUCGUGGCACAGCAGAGGCGAAUCCGACUAGGAACCAUGAGGUUGCGGGUUCGAUCCCUGGCCUCGAUCACUGGGUUCAGGAUCUGGCGUUGCUGUGAGCUGUGGUGUAGGUUGCAGACACGGCUCGGAAUCCAAGUUUCUGUGGCUGUGGUGUAGGCCGGCAGCUGUAGCUCUGAUUUGACCCGUAGACUGGGAACCUCCAUGUGCCGCAGGUGCAGCCCUAACAAGCAAAAAAUAAAAAUAAAAAAAUCUUCCAUCACGGUCUACCCCGAGAGACUGGAUAUAGUUCCCUGUGCUAUACAGUAGGACCACAUUGCUCAUCCAUUCUAAAUGCAGAUUUGAGCAAUGUCCCAGCUCAAAAAUUCCAGCUCCUUUUCCCCUCCCAUCGCUGAGCUGACACAGAUCUUGAGGGGCCUCUACUUCUUCCUGUCUCCAGAUGAAACCACUUAAACCACCAAGACAAAUGGAACUUGUUCCCAUUUCUAAAGACCUUCGGGGAUGGCCGUUUCCCUUGGCUCCUGUGAGUCACUCGUCCUCGCAUCUCGCAUCCCAUCUGGAAUGUUUUCCUUAGUUGAGUCCUUCCUCUACAGUUUCCAUUCAUUCGCCUCUGGUUCUGCUUCUAAGUGAAUCACUGUGUUCUGAGCAAUCACUCUUACAAGAUUUUUAUUCCUCUUUCAGCAUGUUCACUGCAGGCCUUUACGGGAGGUGACUAUGAAAAACCACAAAGACAUCGAGGAAGCCAACUAAGGCAAGGGUGCUGCAGGACCCAGAAAAUUCAACCCUGGGGUUCUACUCGGAGUUCACAGUGCAGGAGACUGGCACACCUGUGACCAGAUCAAAAAGCCAGGAGACAGCGGCCACCGUUACCUCCCUCAAAUCAAGCACCCCCUCCUACAGGAAGCCUUCCUUGCCCAGCUCCCAUUCUGGCUAGCAAAGCCUCUCCUUCUUCGGCACCGCAUCUCAACUGGAGUUGUAGGCUGAAUGUUUGCCUCCCAGGCAGGGGUCAUGACUU
This 1470-nucleotide long non-coding RNA is filed under the name Sus scrofa (pig). RNAcentral's name for it is "lncRNA (ENSSSCG00000054616.1)". Lineage: Eukaryota; Metazoa; Chordata; Mammalia; Artiodactyla; Suidae. The record is from RNAcentral.